GGGAUUUUAAGGAGAUUUUUGGGGUAAAACUUUGGAAUUUUAAGAACCUUUUUUGGUGUAAAACCUCAGGAUUUUCCAUCAGAAUUUUCUGGGGAUUUUUUACCCUUCCCCCCCUCAUUUUUUGGGUUGAAACCCCCCAAUUUUGGGGAUUUAUUCCUCUUAAAUCUCUUUAUUUUUAUCUCCCAGCUUCUGUUUUUCGGAGAUGGCCCCGGUGUGCGCCGUGGUCGGGGGGGUGCUGGGCCAGGAGGUGGUCAAGGCUCUGUCCCAGCGGGACCCCCCCCACAACAAUUUCUUCUUCUUCGACGGCAUCAGGGGCCAGGGGAUGGUGGAGUGCCUGGGACCCCCCCUCUGAGGGACCCCCCAAUUUGGGGAGGGGGCUUGGGGGGUCCUGGACCCCUCAGGGUGAAGAUUUGGGGGGUCCUGAGCCCCCUCUGAAGGACCCCCCAAUUUGGGGAGGGGGUUUGGGGGGUCCUGGACCCCUUUCUGAGGGACCCCCCAAUUUGGGGAGGGGGUUUGGGGGCUCUGGACCCCCCCUCUGAGGGACCCUCCAAUUUGGGGAGGGGGUUUGGGGGUCCUGAGCCCCUUGGGGUGAAGAUUUGGGGGAUUCUGGACCUCCUCUGAGGGACCCCCCAAUUUGGGGAGGGGGCUUGGGGGUUCUGGAUCCCCCUUCUGAGGGACCCCCCAAUUUGGGGAGGGGGUUUGGGGGCUCCUGGACCCCUUUCUGUGGGACCCCUGAAUUUGGGGAGGGGGUUUGGGGGUCCUGAGCCCCUUGGGGUGAAGAUUUGGGGGGUCCUGAACUCCCCUCUGAGGGACCCCCCAAUUUGGGGAGGGGGCGUGGGGGGUCCUGAGCCCCCUCUGAGGGACCCCCCAAUUUGGGGAGGGGGCUUGGGGGGUCCUGAACCCCUCGGGGUGAAGAUUUGGGGGUCCUGAACUCCUUGGGGAGGGGGUUUGGGGGGUCCUGGACUCCUCUCUGAGGGACCCCCCAAUUUGGGGAGGGGGUUUGGGGGUUCUGGACCCCUCGGGGUGAAGA
Molecule: long non-coding RNA, 1030 nt
Filed under: Parus major (Great Tit)
Lineage: Eukaryota; Metazoa; Chordata; Aves; Passeriformes; Paridae
Description: lncRNA (ENSPMJG00000002392.1)
Source: RNAcentral